RNAcentral lists this long non-coding RNA (4371 nucleotides) under Ananas comosus (pineapple). RNAcentral's name for it is "long non-coding RNA (ACOM_LNC033294)". The record is from RNAcentral. Lineage: Eukaryota; Viridiplantae; Streptophyta; Magnoliopsida; Poales; Bromeliaceae.
UUGUUUAGCCUUGGGCGGACAAGGGAGGUGCUGUUGUCAUGCCCCGCGACCGCCCGCCUAUUUGGCCGGGUCGCGGCGCCGCAACAGACCGCCGAACGGACAGGGUUUCCCCUGUAUCGCGGACAGAGUCUCCCCUGUGCAUUUAAGGCGUCGCAAUCAAUACAAUGUACAAAGUUCCAACCAGGAACACAUUUCAAUCAAAGAUUGCAUAAGGAAGUAUCAAAAACAUAAUCUACUUGUUAUUACAAGCAUUCACAAAAUACAUUUUACAUCACAAUUACUUAUUACAUUUAACUUCCAAAUACAAUCGAGCUUUUAUUACAUAUUAUUACAACUUAUUCUUUUCAUUUUCUUACAUCCCUAAGUAAAGGCCGAUUCAGGGUACCGCUAUCUCUGGUCUCGGUGGUAGGGCGCUAACUAUGGAGCUACGCCCUCGCCUCGCGCCGCCGCGCCGCUCACGUGUGAACCUGUAACACCCCAAAACAACGUGGGGUGAGAACCAACUCCAUGGUUCCCAGUGGGUACGGCCACCCAAGGAAAAAGCUCGACCAAUAGGUCCAAGGAAGGCAACUGCAAGUUAGUUCAAUAAAUAGAUAGAUAUAUAUCUUGAUUAUGCAACAAAUGAAACCAUGCAUUGCCUCACGAAUGCAAUAUGAAGAUCAUGCAAUGAUGCGACCAUACAAUCAACUAGUAAUUCAAUCGAUUACUACUUUCAUCCAAUUGACAUUUAAGGUUGUCUGUCAUUUACCAUUUUAAUCAUAAGGUCUCAUUUACCUUUAUCAACUAUCCACCCGACUCGGUCUUGAGUCAAUCAUUCGCGUAGUACCGCGCAAAGGCAGGCUCGAGGCGAAGGACGUCUCACUUGCACCUCAGCCUUAAGUCCACUCAACUAGGAUAUUAUUAUAGCUCAUAAGUUUAUUACCCAAUCACUUGGCUAACCCAAAGGUUUCGCCCUCAACAAACUCACCAACCCAAAAUCCCAUUAACCGGGGAGAUACCCGCUACAACCCGGUGGGACCGUCCUCUGGGGAGAUACCCGCUACAACCCAGUGAUGUCGACUCCGGAGCACAUCGCCCGAGGGGGAGCUACCACAACCUCGAGCAAGGACUAAAGGUGAGUAUGAUCAAUCCUACAUUGGAGGAUUCCAAGUUCAAUCCAUUCCUUAACUUUAGGAAGACUAUGCUCAAAUGACCCUAACUCUAGGGUUGAAAUGUCAUAAUAUUUCCAUCAUUCUUUUCUUUGCAUUCUUUACUAUCACUUGUGUCAUAUACACUACUAUAUUCUUGGACUCAUGCCACACUUGUUUUCUAAGUGUUCAACAUACCAUAAGUGUUUCCACUAUACUAAUCAUAUGCCACUCGAUCUAAUAUAUAUAGAUUGUCCACGUCACAUAUCAUAGUUCAUAUGUCAUUGUUUUUCAAUGUCGAGUUCUCUAAUUCACCUAGAGUUUAUCGACCCAAGUUCAACAUGCAUGUGUCAUUUAACAUAAUCCACAAUAUGUCAAUAUACAUUCAUCUAGUAUAUUCUACAAUAAAUCAACAUGCACUCAUUCAUCAUAUUCCACAAUAUGUCUACAUAUAUAUGCCAACCAUUCAUAUGCCAUCCAACAUGUUCCAUAAUUUAUCAACAUGCAUAUUACCUCUAACAUAUUACUAUAACAUUAUUUUCAUGCAUUCAUGUAACAAUUAACUCAUGCAUUCAUCUAGCAUUAUUUAACUUGCAUCUUAUCAUUACGCAUUUCUACUUGGCAUUUACAUUAACAUGCAUCAUUUUCAUACUUCAUUUACAUCUAUAUGCAUCAACAUGGAUUCUUAAUUUGCUUAGACAUAAAGGCGACCUAGUCGCUUCGGUAAGCACAACCCACCUUAACUCGCGUUCCGAUUGCUUGUCGACACUUGCAAUCGGCCUCCCGCGGCACCCGUAUCCGGCACGGCCCGAUAUCGCAACUGCGCCUCAACCGUGCUCCGCUUCGCAGCCCCGAAAAUUAUAGGUCUUCGGUUAUGUGCCACGAUGCCUCAAAUCCAUUUCCAUGAUUUUACGACGUCGCCUCGGCCCUCCCGGCGGACCCGAAGCCUAAACGUCCAUUUCUUUAAUAACUUUGUAACGGCUCGUCGGAUUGCCGAACCGUCUUCGCCAACGCGUUCGUUUACCUAGCAAUUUGAUUUACGGAGGGUCAAAUGAGAUCAAAUCCAUAUAUUUUACAAAACCCCAUUCGGAGCCCUAACAUGCAAUUAACCUCUAAAUAGUCCAAAUUAAAUAGAGAGAGCAUGUUUAGAAUGCUCAUUAGAGACUAUUAGAACACUUAGAACUAAGCAUUAAGCCAAAUUCUAAAAGCUUACCUCAAUGUGAACGCCGCGAUGAAAACACGCCGCUCCAACGGGCGCACGAAAGCUCAAUCCGUCGCCUCCAACGCGUUCGCAAGCAUCUUCUCCACCAACCCCGCGAAUUUGAGCGAGAGAUAUAGAGAGAUGAGAGAGAUCUCUAGAGAGAGAAAGGAGGGUUCUCUCCCCCCUCUCCAUGCGUGCGUGUGAUGGUCGGCCGAAUGAGGAAGAAGAAGCUUCAGUUUAACACCUCCAACACUAUUCACUCCAGGCAGCUUGAAAUUUGAUAUCUUUCGCCGGAACUCUCAGAAUGUCCGUUUGAGCUCAAACUUGACAGUCAUGUUCGAUUUUACGUACUGAGUAAGAAUAUAUUUUAAGUUUUCAGUUUUGACCUCGUUUGGUCACUGAAAACUGUACCGAACUGUAAUCUUUAUCAGAUAGCUGUCGGAUUUUAUUUCUCACUCUACGUGUGUCAGAAAAAUAUGAAACUUUAGAUCUAUUCUCAUAAAAAUAUUUCUGACUUAUUCUACAAUUUUCAUAAUUUUCUGAGACUGUGCAUUUUCUGCUAAUUUAUCUGUCCCGUUUCCAACAGAAAAUUAUAAAUCUUCUGUUUUCAUUCCGAUUUCAGCACAAAUCACUUCUGACUUAUGUUUUACUUCUACAAAUCUAAUAAAAAUAGUUUCUCACACUAUUUUUAUUUAUUUUUAUUUUUAUACCAAAAUCUGGUAUGUUACAGCUGUCGUUCGGCGUUUGUUCGACGUGCCCGAACCAACCAAAUUGGCGGUUGCGGGGUGUGACAGUAUAAGUCUAGAUUUGACUAUGUAUCAGGCGCUGACCAAUGAGGCUGUGUUUGGUUCGGGUAUAAGUAAGAACUGUUUAUCCCAGGAAUAGGUAUAAGUUCAGGUAAAAGCAUGAACUUAACUAAUUUUGCGUUUAGGUGAAAAUUGGGUUGUUCCGAGGAAUAAAGCAAAUAGUAUUUGGUUAGAUAGAUUGGAACAAAGAGAAUAAGAGUUACAAUUUUAAAUUAAAAUUAUUUUAUCUAAUUAAUUAGCAUCAAAAUAUUAAUUAAAAAUAAUAAAUUAAUAUUAAUAAUUAUAAAUAAUAAAUUAUUAAUAAUUAUAAAUUAUAACUCUUAUUNUAAAAAUAAUAAAUUAAUAUUAAUAAUUAUAAAUAAUAAAUUAUUAAUAAUUAUAAAUUAUAAAAAUAAUAAUAAUAAAUAAAUAAAUAAAUAAAUAAUUAACUAAAUAAUAAUAAAUUCAUUAGAUAAUAUAGUAUAAAUAAUAAAUUAAUAAUAAUCAUAAAUAAUAAAUUAUUAAUAAUUAUAAAUAAUAAAAUAUUACUAAUUGUAAAUUUAUAAAUUAAUUAAUAAUUAAUAAAAUUAUUAAUUAAUUAAUUAUUAAUACUUAUAAAUAAUAAUACAUUAAUUAAUAAUAAAUUAAUUAUAAAUUAAUAAACUAAUUAAUAAUUAAUUAAUUAUAAAUUAAUUAAUAAAUAAAUAAAUUAUUAAUAUAUAUAACAAUAAUAAUUUUAUUAAUAAUUAUAAAUAAUAAAUAAAUAAAUUAUUUUAUUAUUUAAGCUACAAAUAAUUAUUUAAUAUAUUAAUUAGAUUAAUUAAUGCUUUAAUAUCAUAACUAAAUUAAAUUUAGAUUUUAAUUAACGUUGUUCCUACCUAUAAACAAGCUUGUUCCAGCAAAAAUGGUGGAACAACAAUUCCAGUCUUAUACCAGUUUAUUUCAGAAAUUCGAAAACAGUACUUAUACCAGUUUAUUUCAGAAAUUCGAAAACUACUGUUUUCGGGUACCAAACGCAUCGUUUGGAAACAAAGGGGAAAACAAAGCCUUAUUCUCUAUUGUUCCCGAACCAAACAUUGUCUUAUAAAUCGCCUUGAAUAAAUCACAUGGACCACAUUUCAACAGUCACCACUAUCAUUCUAACACUACAAAUUAAUCCUUUAUUUAAGGACCAAAAUAUCAGAAACAUCAACUUUUUUAUACUUUCGAAAGUAUAGUAUCUCUCUCUCUCUAUAUAUAUACACACACACCUAUUGUU